RNAcentral lists this ribosomal RNA (429 nucleotides) under Gemmatimonadota bacterium. RNAcentral describes it as "Gemmatimonadetes bacterium partial 16S ribosomal RNA". It matches the Rfam family "Bacterial small subunit ribosomal RNA", at positions 355 to 776 of the family's 1533-position model. Lineage: Bacteria; Pseudomonadati; Gemmatimonadota. The record is from RNAcentral.
UAGGGAAUCUUCGGCAAUGGACGAAAGUCUGACCGAGCAACGCCGCGUGAGUGAAGAAGGUUUUCGGAUCGUAAAACUCUAUUGUUAGAGAAGAACAAGGACGUUAGUAACUGAACGUCCCCUGACGGUAUCUAACCAGAAAGCCACGGCUAACUACGUGCCAGCAGCCGCGGUAAUACGUAGGUGGCAAGCGUUGUCCGGAUUUAUUGGGCGUAAAGCGAGCGCAGGCGGUUUCUUAAGUCUGAUGUGAAAGCCCCCGGCUCAACCGGGGAGGGUCAUUGGAAACUGGGAGACUUGAGUGCAGAAGAGGAGAGUGGAAUUCCAUGUGUAGCGGUGAAAUGCGUAGAUAUAUGGAGGAACACCAGUGGCGAAGGCGGCUCUCUGGUCUGUAACUGACGCUGAGGCUCGAAAGCGUGGGGAGCAAACAGG